Molecule: long non-coding RNA, 696 nt
Filed under: Mus spicilegus (steppe mouse)
Lineage: Eukaryota; Metazoa; Chordata; Mammalia; Rodentia; Muridae
Description: lncRNA (ENSMSIG00000023368.1)
Source: RNAcentral
GGGCCCUUGGCAAUGCCAGGAGAACAGAAAGGGCCUCUCAGACUGCACUAGCUACUUCAGUCUGGGCCAGGCCAGGCCAGGCUGGGCCCUGGAGAUCUCUGAAGUAAAACCCCAAGAAGGCAGGCUUGCUCUGUCUGUCUGUCUGUCUGUCCGUCUGUCUGCCUGUCUGCCUGUCUGUCUCUGGUUGUUACUCCUGCUAUCGAGGCUCCUGCAGUAACAGCUAACAGGCUGUGGAAUGAAUUCACCACCGAGAACUUCUUGGCCAGGGCUGGAGAAAGGGUCGCCUCAAAGGAAGAGACAGGACUCAAUCCCGGGAAGAUUCCUACCUCCAGACUAACACUUGGAAGAUAAAGAAUGAGGGAGCUGACAACCUUGUUGCAGAAUUCUGCCCAGCACUGACAGCCUCAGCGCCCACCCUCUGCUUCUCAGGAUGACCCUGGGAGCACCUGAGUUUUUUUUUGCUCGGUGAGGAAACCCUUGGGUUUCAGAGUAUCUCCUGGUGGCACACUGGGAAAGACUUUUAAAGCUGGAAUUAAAAAACCAAACCAAACCAAACCAAACCAAACCAAACUGAAACAAAAAGAAAAACAAACCAUUCAUCUGAUCCAUGGUGCUGUUGCCUGGCUAGGGCAAGCCUGCGUGCGGGGCGGGGCGGGGUGGAGUGAAGGGGAAUCAGAGGAGGUCAGACCUUCAGUU